GGAGUACAUAUUUUCUUAUAGCAGUUGUUAUGUAUUGAUUAUGAUACUCAAAAGCACACAAUGAUCUACAAGGAUCAAAGAUUAAAGUUCAGUGCACAUUAUACAGAGUCUAUUUAAAUCACAUUUCAAGUUUCAUUAUUACAAUUUGACACUCGAGAACAAUAUGGGUAGCUAUAUAUAUUUUCAAUGCAUUUGUAAUAGCUUUUCAAUUUGUGUUUUUGGUAUGAAAUAAAGAAAUAUUAAAAUAUGAUACACCUGAAAUGUAUUCACAAAAUAUUAAAAUGGAAAACAACCAUAUGAAACAUACAGUUCUGAAAAAGUUUUAAAACUAUUGCAACGUAA
Molecule: long non-coding RNA, 342 nt
Filed under: Mytilus galloprovincialis (Mediterranean mussel)
Lineage: Eukaryota; Metazoa; Mollusca; Bivalvia; Mytilida; Mytilidae
Source: RNAcentral